UGUGUGUGUGUGUGUGUAUAUAUGUGUGUAUAUAUAUAUAUAUAUAUAUAUAUAUAUCCACACACACACACA
Pelobates cultripes (western spadefoot toad) is the source of this 72-nucleotide non-coding RNA. NCBI's taxonomy places the organism in Eukaryota, Metazoa, Chordata, Amphibia, Anura, Pelobatidae. The record is from the annotation of a GenBank genome assembly.